CCUACGGGAGGCAGCAGUGAGGAAUAUUGGACAAUGGACGAGAGUCUGAACCAGCGAAGUAGCGUGAAGGAUGACUUCCCUAUGGGUUGUAAACUUUUUUUAUAUGGGAAUAAAAUGUUCCACGUGUGUGAUUUUGUAUGUACCAUAUGAAUAAGGAACGGCUAACUACGUGCCAGCAGCCGCGGUAAUACGGAGGUUCCGAGCGUUAUCCGGAUUUAGUGGGUUUAAAGGGAGCGUAGGUGGAGUGUUAAGUCAGUUGUGAAAGUUUGCGGCUCAACCGUAAGAUUGCAGUUGAAACUGGCAGUCUUGAGUGCAGUAGAGGCGGGCGGAAUUCGUGGUGUAGCGGUGAAAUGCUUAGAUAUCACGAAGAACUCCAAUGGCGAAGGCAGCUCACUGGACUGCAACUGACACUGAGGCUCGAAAGUGUGGGUAGCAAACAGGAUUAGAUACCCGGGUAGUC
This 460-nucleotide ribosomal RNA is filed under the name uncultured bacterium. RNAcentral's name for it is "partial 16S ribosomal RNA". It matches the Rfam family "Bacterial small subunit ribosomal RNA", at positions 338 to 795 of the family's 1533-position model. The record is from RNAcentral.